CUUGGCAUGCAAAGGAAGAAAAGUGGAGCUCCUGGCAGGACGCCAGCUGUUCUCCCUCUCACUGACUUGCCCUCUCAGUUUGCCGCGGAGAAAAGAACGUGCUUCCCCUACAGUCUACUAGCACUCAUCUGCUAUCUCCCUACCCUUCCCCCUCUCCUGGAGUGCACAGCCUGACUCAUUAGUCACGGGCCAGGGCCGGAUGUGCUGCAAAAGGUGGGGUAGAUUUUUUUUUUUUUCUCCCCUCCUCUCUCUUUUGUCUCCUUCUGGGCUUGUGCCCCUGUCAUGGACUCAGAUCCAGAGAUAACUCCAUGACGUAUUUAUUUAUGUUAAUAUAAAUUAAUAUUGUAUACAAAUAUAUAUGUUUUCCUUGUGGUAAUGCUGAUGGUUUUGACCCCCCCCCCCUUAGUUUUAUAGAAUAGCAAGUUUUCAUAAUCUGAUGAGUAGAAAUGGAAAACAAAGGGAAAGAAAGUCGUUGGACAGUCAAACAAUUGAUGGAGAAUGGAAAUUAAGAUUUAACUGUGCAGAAGCAACAUGAGGAGAAAAUUAAGCUUUGGGAUGUUAAGCUUUGUUAAGCUUUGGGAUGAGAUGUCUAGGCAGUUUCUUGAGGUUUUACAAGUUUUAACUUUUAUUUAAAGGUUGUUUUUGUUUGUUGUUUUUUAAAUAAGCUGAAAAAAUGGCUUCUUGUUUUUAUAAAAACUAUGAAGUUUUCCUCUGCUCUCAAUUAGAAGACUUGGGGAGCUACAGGAGAGAAGACAGGAGCUUUAGCAGGGUCUGUGGUAAUAGGACUAGGGGAAGUGAUCUCAAACUUGAAGAGGAUACAUUUAGGUUGGAUACAAAAAAAAAAAAAAAAAAAAAAAAAAAAGUCUUUUACAGUGAGGGUGUUGAGGCAUUGGAACAGGAUGUCCAGAGAUGUGAUUGAUGCCCUGUCCCUGGAGACUUUCAAGGCAAGGCACUAAUAACAGCAACACUGAAGACAUAUCUCUUAAAUGUUUCCAUAAAUGACUUUGAGGACUCAAAGGCAUGCCAAGCAAGUCUGAAGAUAACAUUAAAUUGGGAAAAGCACCUAGGAUGAGGAAACUCUAGAUGUAUUCAUAGACUGGAGAAUGAGGCAGGAGGGGAGUCCCAUGGCAAAGGAUCUGGGGGUUCUGGUUGGUGGCAAGAUGAAUAUGAGUCAGUAGUGUGCGCUGGUAGCCAAAAAGGCAAAUCAUACCUCAUGAUGUAUCAGGCAUAUAUCUGCUAGCAGCUCAAGGAUUGUUUCACUCUGCUGUGAGCUGGUGGGACUCCACCUUCAGCAUUAUGCACAGUUUUGUCUGCCACUAUAAGAGAAUAAAGUAUGUAUCAUAUAUUAACAAUUAGAAAGCCUCCAAAGAAGGGCUACAAAAAUGGUGAAGGAUCUGGACAGCAUGAUAAAUGAAAAGUGGCUGAGUUCCCUUUGUUUGUUCAAACCAGAGAAGACAAGAUUGAGGGAAGUGACCUGCAGCUUUCUCAUGAGAGGAGCAGGGAGGAAGAAGCUGAUUCCUCCUUUCUGAUGACAGCAAUAGGACCUCAGGAAAUGUCAUGAAGCUGUGUCAAAAGAGGUUCAAAAUAAAUUUUAGGAAAAGGUUCUUCGCUAAGGUAGCAGUGUCCCACUGGAAUAACUGGCAAUAGUUAUGGUCCCAAACCUACUGGAGUUCAAGGAACAUAUGGACAGUGCUCUUAGACAUACAGUUUGAAUUUUAGGUAGUUUUUUUUUUUUUUGCAAAGCCUAGAAUUUAACUCUGUGAUCCUUGUGAUUGCUUCCAACACAGAAUAUGAUAUUAUUCAAUAAUUCUUUUUGAUAUCGUUGGUCCUUGAAAGCAGAGAAACAGCUUCUGAACAGUUGUGAUACCAGGCAAAGCAUCAUUAAGAAUAACAGUAAUUAUAUAUAGAAAAGUGUUGACUCACCCAACUGGUUUUAAGGCUCUCUGACUAUAGAACACCACUUCACAGGAAAAAAAAAAAAAAAAAAAAAAAAAAAAAAAAAAAAGCCUUCACCCAGGAGACUUUUUCCAUUUAGAAGUUAGCCCUUAAAUAAUCAUGUGAGAAGCACGGGUUAAUUGCUUGCACCCGUGCUUCCUGGGCCAGUUAUCCACUUCACAGGGUGCUCAAUCAUCAUUUCAGAUCAUGACAUAACAGUACACCUGCAGAUAUUAACAACCCAAAUUAUAAUAAAAGACAAAAACAAACAAACAAACAAAACAGCAAAUAAGUCAGCUGAACAAAAACACAGUCUAGGUGUUUGGACAUUCAAUUGAUUUUUUGAUUUUAGGAUUUGUGAACAUGGUAUGGAGAAUUCAAAUAUCCUAACGGCAUAUUUUGAUUAAAAAAAAAAAACAAAAAAAAAAACCUUGCUAAUAAUUAUGUUAUCUGUUUGUAUCCACAUUAUUUCCUAAAUAAUUUCCAAGGUCACUUUUGGUUUCAGACUAAUUCUAGCACCUGAUCUUGUUGAGAAAUUUAUACUUCCAAAACUUACAUUAAACAUAGUAUCUGCAUUAUUUUUAUAUACUGGUACUCAUCUUGAACUCAGCCUGUUAGUACUUCUCACAUAUUAAGCUUAUUGUGAUGCCAGAAUGCUUCUGAUGAGAAUGUAUGUUCGUUCGCUGUUGAACUGUGUAAAGGUAAACUUUGAAUUCCAGUACAUAUUAAAUGUCCCUGAGUGUCUCUUAAGAUAUUCAUUAGCAUUUCAUUGCUAAUCUCAAGCCUUCCCAAAAUCAAAUAAUAGUCUGAUCUGCUACUUCGCACUUAAGGUAAUUUUGGAUGCUUCUGUACACAUGUGAAAAAUGUCAUGAACACUGAACUUUCUAUUACAGCAAAUGAAUUCCCUUUAGACAGUUUGUACUACCUGAAAAAUAUAUUCAGUAUUUCAAACAUCAGAACCUACUCAUUUUGAAUAAUCUAGUCUUUUCACAUUAGCCAACCUUGUGUCAUCCCAUAAGUACUUGCAAUUUUCAGUUUUCUCCUCCAUACUCCUGCAGGGUGGGGGAGUGAGUGUAUGGCUGUGAUUAACCGUCUGCUGGGUAAAGCCACAACAGCUCAGUUUUUUGAAAGAUAGUCAAUUUUGCUGUCUUUGUUUUCUUUAUGCACAUUAUGUUAGAUAUAGAUAUACUGUAUAAAUCACUACAGAUGAGAAAUAUGAGCAUACCAAAGGUGAAUGUUGUAGUAGCAAAUUUCAAAAAUGCAGUUAUAAUUAAACUGAAGCAAACCAAUUAAUUGGCAGAUUUUACAGAAACAACCUCACCUCCACUUCAGUCACAACAGGAUAAAUUAUACAAACUGAAAUCAACUAAUAAUGGAGAAAGCCUGUGGUAUGAUAGAUAUCCAAAUGGCAAAUAGAGAUUAAAGAAUUUUUGUACCCUUUUCUUGGAUGAAGUAAAUUCUUCAAUCAAAUGUUAACUGUUUGUAGGAAAAAAACAAAAAACAAACAAAAAAAAACAGAUGAGUAUUUUAUAUACACACAUUUCUCAACUGAUUUAAAAUCUGCUACAUCAUAGCUGUUUCGUAACUGUCAUAAUACUGUAAGUGAAAUUUUAUAUUAAAUGACAAAGAUCCUGGAAAUCAUUAACACAACAGCUAUGACAAUAUCAAAAUAAAUACUAUUCUUUAUACUGAAAUUUAUGAAGCUGUGUUUCUGAAACAAUACUCAGAGAGCAUCUCUGUGCUCUAUCAGGGCUGUUGAUAAAGAAUGAACUAAAUCUACACUGAACUUCACCAUAAAGACUACGCUUCUUGCAAGAGCACAUGGGUAUCUCCUGUUCUGCAGCACACUGUUAGCUGCUGGUAAGAAAAACAUACCUCUGUAGAAAGUAGUCUAUUGUGAGUGAUUAGUCAUUUAAGUGUGUGGCCUUCUUUUUCUGAUUUUCAGUCUACAACAGUAAAGACUCUUGUUUUAGCACGAGUUCCACAUAAAUAACCUGUACUGUUUUUUUGUUGUUGUUGUUGUUGUUUUGUUUUGUUUUGUUUUUUUGCAUGGUAUUUUUCUCUUAGACCUUCAUUGUGUUACAUGCAUAUAUACACAAAAAAGUUUGCUACAGAGUUUUCUGUAGAGAUCACCACCAGCUGAGAAAGCAUUAGCCUUGUCACUGUCCAGAAUAUACUGUUGCAAAGAGAAACUGCACGUACUCUGGGUUUACUAAUUUAAAGUAAGCAUUAGCUAGUACUCUGAAUCAAAACAUCAUCAUAGAAUAUCACUCUUACUGUCCUCAUCCCAAUUAGUAUUUGAUUACACAUUUCUUUAUUCUAAUACAACAUUCUGCUCCAGUUCAAAUAAAUAAAUCAGACUUCCUUUUCAGUAAUUAACAAAUUGAAAAACAGCAAAUUGCAGCAAAAUGAUUUAUUUCUUUUAGUCAUUGCCCCCAAGAAAUUAUGAUCAAUUUACUGUCCACAGGAGAGCUUACUGUAACUGAAAAGUAUACCUGAGACAUGAAACACAUACAGAUUUUCUCAAAGAAGUUUUACGUCGUCAUGUUCCUCAUUCGUAUGACUUAACAAAAGAGACAGAGAGUCUCUAUGCACUCAAAUCCCUGAACUAUGCACACAAAUUCCUGAACCCCAAUGGGAUGCACCCACGAGUGCUCAGGGAGCUGAAAGAAGUGAUUGCAAAACUGCUCUCAUUUUUAAAGAUCAUGGAGAAUUGGAGGGGUGACUGAAGACUGGAGGAAAACCAAUGUCACUCCAGUCUUCAAAAAAGUGAAGGAGGAAUGAGGAAUCUACAGGCCAGUUAACCUCAACAUUAUCCCCGGGGAGAUGAUAGAACAGCUUAUUUUGAAUGUCAUCUCCAAGCAAGUGGAAGAAAAUAAGCUUACCAGGAGCAGUCAACAUGGAUUCACCAAAGGGAAAUCAUGCUUGACAAAUAUGGUAGCCUUCUAUGAUGUCAUGACUCACUGGGUAGAUGAGGGAAAAGCAGUGGAUAUUCAGCAAGUUUUUUUGUUUUGUUUUGUUUUUGUUUCUGUUUUUCAUAGAAGCAUAGAACAUCUUGAGUUAGAAAGGACCCGUAAGAAUUGUCAAGUCCAAGUCUGGGCUCCUCACAGAACCACCCAGAACUCAGACCAUAUGAUGCAUCUGGAACUCUGUCAGCUUGAGGCUGUGACCACUUCCAUGGGGAGCCUGUUUUUUAUCGGUGUCCUCGUACCAAUUCCUGUGACCUGAUAUCCAUGCCCUAGUAGCAGCAUGGAAUUUCAUAUGAUUAAGUAUAGUUUUAGAGUAAGUUUCAUGAACUUCUGAAAAUUGAUUCUGCUGAGAUUUAGAUAACAACAGUAAGCUUAUCUGGGAGGGGUGCAGUCUUCCUCUUCCAUGCUCUCAUAGUAUCUGGAAUAUGACACUGCUUCCAACAAUAUCCUCAUAGGUAAAUUUAGGAAGUGUGGGAUAGAUGAGUGGACAGUAAAGUGCACUGAGAUCAGUAAAGCUCUGAGUGUUGCAAUCAGUGCCCCAGAGCCUAGAUGGAGGCCUGUAGCUAGCAGUGUUUCCCAGGGGUUGGCACUGGGUCCAGUCUUGCAUAAUAGCUUCAUCAGAUGCCUGUCUGAAGGUAGAGAGUGCACCCUCAGCAAGUUAACUGAUCAUACAAAGCUGGGAGGAAUGGCACCUCCAGACAGGUGGCUGUUCAGUGAGACCUGAACAGCCCAGAGGGUUGGAUAGAGAGGAAGCUUAUGAGGUUCAACAAGAUCAAGUGUAGAGUCUUGCAUCUGGGGAGGAGUCAUUUCAUGAGUCUGUAAAGGUUAGAGGAUGGCCUGCUGGAAAGGAGCUCUGCAGAGAAGGACCUCGAUUCUUGUGGGCAACAGGUUUGCCAUGAGCCAGCAAUGCACCCUUGUGGCCAAGAAGGCCAAUAGUAUCCUGAGGUACAUUAAAGAGAACACGGCCAGCAGGUUGAGGCAUAUUCUCCAUCUGACCUAUUCUCUCCUUGCAAAGCCACAUCUGGAGUUGUGUGACAAGAUGUGGGCUCCUCAGUUCAAUAAAAACAUGGAACUUCUAGAGAGAAUCCAGCUGAGGGCCACAAAGAUGAUUAGGUGCCUGGAGCAUCUCCUUUAUAAGUAAAGGCUGAGAAACCUUUGAUUGUUCUGCCUGGGGGAGAGAAGAGUGAUGAGGGAUCUUAUCAAUGCUUAUAAAUAUCUAAGGGAUGGGUGUCAGAACAGUGUGGUCAGCUGCUUUUUGGUGGUUCCCAGAGACAGAAUAAAGGGCAGUGGGUACAAACUGCAACAGAGGAAGUUCCAAAUGAACUUCUUUACUUUGGAGGCUACAGAGAACUGGAAGAAGCUGCCCAAAGGAGUUGUGGAGUCCUUUUCUCUGGAGAUAUGCAAAACCCCCCUGGACACUUUCUUCUGCAACCUACUGUAGAGAACCUGCUUUAGCCAGGGGAUUGGACUAGACGUUCUCCAGAGGUCCCUUCCAAUCCCUAUGAUUCUCUGGUUCUGUGUUAGAUUCACCUUUAUCAGAUGUGUAUCACCAGUUUGAUGAUCUCUCAAACAAAAUCUGUCAAAUGACAACAUAAUUUACAGUGAUAACAUAUGAAAUACCUUGUGACCUCAAUUGGUUUUCUUUGACUAUAAGUUUAACUAGAAUUCAAAUAAACCACCAGGAAACUCUCGUAUCUUUUUAGAGAUUUACCUAUUGCAAAAAAAAAAAAAUGACCUCCUGCUCAACUGUUCUGAUAUAUGCAUAUUAGAGAGUGUCUUUAAGAUAUUUUGAAGACUAAAAAUAUGUAUAUUUACUGUAGAGUUUUUGUAUAUCUUUUUGUUAUUAUCAAAACAAUAAAAAAAUACACAUUCCCAUUUCCAGGUACAAUUUAGAAUAUAAAGCAAGAAAGAAACUAUGUAUUUGAGGAAAUUAAGUGUUAUACAGUACAGAAUCUGGUACAGAAUUGGCACUCUGCAGAAGUCAAGAAUAAUCUCAAAACAUCACAAAAAAAAAAAGAAAAGAAAAAAGAAAAAUAAUAUUUACAAAGUUUUUUGUUUACAGUUUUGCAGUUUAACUUGCGUGCUAAGAAGUAUCGAAUCUAUAGAAAAAAAACGUUUUUACUCUGACCUCUUUCUACAUUGUUUCUGGCUUGUUUGCUUUGUUUAUUUAAAGCACAUCAUACAGACAGCUGAAAGUAGAUCAGUAAACUGUGAAAUGUCUCUGACAGUAUAGUAGGAAGUUCAUUUGAUGUAAUAAGUUGGAGUUGAAAGGUGGUUUUAUAUUUUUUCCUGAAUAUGAACAACUAUUGCCAGUUGCAACUAUUGAGCAUAUGGCUAACCAUUUUUUAUGAAUUUAAUAUCUUUGAUCUGAGAAUAUAUUUCAUCUACAAGAGAAGAAAUCAGACAUAAACAUUAGCUGCAGAAAAAAAUGUGACAGCUUGGUUUAGGGUGGUAAAUAGAAAUUUAUUCUCACACACACACACACACACACACAAAAGAUAAAUAUAAAGCAAGAUGUGCAUCUCUCAAUAAUUUCUUAAGGAAGAAAACACCAUUCCAGUGAUAAAUGAAGUCUUGCUUGCUUAACUGUUGAAUACUAUCAGUUUGUAAAACAGAGAUAGGUAGUGAAGUCUGUGUACAAGACAUUCCUGAAAGCAUUGUUAUUUUACUCUGAACUAUAAAUGUUAAAGUCUUAAUUAAAGAGCUAUGAAAAAGGUGUGAUAUGCUGAAUUAGUUGAUGAAUUGCUUGUUUGAUUAAAGUAUAAUUAAACAGAUUUGUUUUUAUUUCAUAUUCCAUAAAUGAUAAAUGACUCUCAAACUAGUUCCAUAAUUAAGAUACACAUAUAGUAAGUGAAGAGAUUAAUGUUUAAUUAACUAAGGUCUUAACUAUAAUACUUGAGGCGAUAUUCAUUAAGGAAAAUCUACAGUAGUUAUGCUGGGCUGACAGUUUUUUUUUUUUAUGGAGCUUUUGUAUCAAAGAUAUUGUGUAUGAAGAACUAGGAUAAUUUCUGGAACAGCCACAGGGCUUUUUCUUCAAAGAGGUCAUUCAUAGGUAUAGAUUUUUACUUUUUAUAAAUUAUACAUCUGUGCUGAUGAAAAUUUACUGAUUCUAACACUGGGUACCUUAGAUAGCUCCUUGAUCAAAUUAAUCUUGACCAUGAUUAUAUAACUGAAAUAAGAUAAUAUUGAAUUCACUUUUUUUUUUGAGUAAAGGUGAAGAAAUGAUAAAUUCAGUAAGAAUUUUGAAAUUUGGUUUCAUCGUGGUUCAAAAUGAAACCUAAGCAUCAUUCUCUACAAAAGUAAUUUUUUUUUUUGUUGUACUGUAUGGAAACUGUUGAAUCACAGCUUGAACCACUGAUUGACCACCUGAGGCGAGCACUGAGUCAGCUGCAGGGGCACAGAUGAACACAAUUUCACCUGAGUCACCGGAAGGGAAUAUCCUGUCACUGACCAAGAGAGAAGCUGCAUUCUGCAUACAUACUGCCUACCAUAAGAUUCACAGAACACUGCAAAACUGCAAUGAUAAAGAUGAACUUCACUAGAGUGAAAUGCAUAAUCAUAGAAUCACAGAAUCACCAAGAUGGAAAAAUAUCUCCAACAUCAUUUAGUUCACCUAUCACCAAUACUUCCUCACUAAACCAUGUCCUUCAGUAUAUCUAAAUGUUUCUUGAACAUCUCCAGGGUUGAUGACUUCUCCACCUCCCUGGGCAGCCCGUUCCAGUGCCUAACGACUCCUUCAGAGAAGAAGUAUUUCCUAAUAUCCCACCUGAAUCUCCCCUGGUGCAACUUGAGGCCAUUCCCUCUAGUCCAGUUGCUAGUCACAUGGGAGAAGAGUCCAACCCCCACUUCACUACAACCUCCCUUCAGGUAGCUGUAGAAAGCAAUCAGGUUUCCUAUGAUGCUCCUUUUCUCCAGACUGAACAAUCCCAAUUCCCUCAACUGCUUCUCAUAAGGCUCAUGCUCCAGACCCCUCACCAUCUUUGUUGCCCUUCUUUGAACACGCUCCAAGGCCUCAAUGUCUCUCUUACAGUGAGGGGCCCAAAACUGAACACAGUAUUCAAGGUGCAGCCUCACCAGUGCUGAAUACAGUCCUAUAAAGGACACAGAGGAGGUCUCAUCAAAGCAUAUAAACAUCUGAAGUGAGGAUGAAAUGAAGAUGGUGAUAGGAUCUUUUCAGUGGUGUCCAUUGACAAGACAAGAGGUAAUGAGCACAGACUGCUAAAGUGCUUUCCAACCUAAGCCAUUCUGUGCUUCUGUGAAAUACAAAAGAUACCAUCUAAACAUCAGGAAAUAGUACUGUGUGUGUGACAGAACACUGGAUCAGGUUAUAAGGAGAGGACAUGGAGUUUUCCUCCUUGGUGAUACUCAAAAGUCAUCCAAACAUGAUCCUGGGCAACUGGCUCUAACUGUUCUGAUUGCUGCAGAAUGCAAGGAUAACUGGAGGCAUUUCUGCUGUUAGAGUGGUGUCAGGAACAAGGAAAAUAAGUGAAAUGUCUCAAAGCUUGUCACAUUCUGGACUACUCCCAAGAUGAGGUGGCUCGGCCUUGUGUGAAGGCCCUGGCUUCUCCAGUGUUCAUUCUGACAACAGAUUCUUCAUGCUGAAGAAGAGUUUUCUGACAACAGACUCCUCAUGAAAAACAGGUUUCUGAAAGCAGAUUCCUCACGACCUGAGACCUGCAUACUGAAGAAGAACAAGAAGUUUUCUGACAUAAGAAGCCUCACAACCUGCCUCUCCCUCCUGGACUUGCUCUGCAUUCUACCUGCUUGCUUCCUAAGGUUGGCCUCUCUGCUGCUGCUCUCCCCCUGAGAAGGUGUCUGCCAUCAGAUCCCUCACUACGGAAGGUCUGCAUGCUGACAGACUCUCCAGGGCCUGUUAUGGGAGGCUUGCUGCUUCCUCCUGGACUUCUUCCUGGACCUACUCGGUACCUGCACCUUCUUGCUGCCCAAGACCAGCCAUGCUGCUGCUGCUCUUCCCCUGUGCUUUUGCCCCAGACCAUCAGAAUGUCAUGCAGUGGGACUGCUGCCAGAUCCUGGUGGUGACUAUCCCCACUUUACACAAUUCUUGCCUCUUUCUAUCUUUUCUAUCACCCGCCUUCCCUUCCCUAUCACCCUAAAUCAUCCGUCCUCCCCUUCCCCAUCUCCCUUAUUAAGAUUUGUAAUAAACUGGUCGGACCAACAUUUGAACCGUUGUUUCUUAAUCUCACGCCGGGUAUACAUAUAUCAAAGAACUUCCUCUCCCUCCUAUAAAUUGGAGCAAGACAGCAGGAUACCCUACCGUGAGAGUAUUACCUUCUUGGCAACACAGGAACAAUUUAGGAAAUAGAAUGAAUCAUUGGAAUUGUACAGCUAGAGGAGAUUAGGCCAUUCUUUGGAUGGCAUUAUUCAAGUAAAGUGGUAAUAGUUCAACAUAGGCUGAUUCUCUUAGAGGGGAGACUGAGUUGCAGAAAACUGAGGACACUUUAUUUCUGAAAGACAGUAUCCAGGGGCACAAAUGUACUUAUACUGCAAACCUGAACCAAGUGGAAACAAUAUGAAAUUUCGUAUUGAGAUGCUGUCUUUCUUUUGUUAAAAUACAGUCUGAGAUUUUGUUGUUACUUUUGUUGUACUAAUCAAGAAACACUUCAAAUGCAGAUCACGCAUUAAGUUUGACAAGCAAGGAAUUUUUUUCCAUCAUUUUAUGUUUCUUUUAAUUUCCCAAUCCAUGAAACAGGAGGAGAGAAGGUCUUUACCUGGUAUUUUAUGUGUGACUCAGUCUGAAGGUAAUGUCCAGAAAAGGUAGGUUAUGUUCAGAUAUAAGAAAAAAUUAUUGUCAUAAAAUUUCAGCAUCAAUUGUACAGAAUUCUGAAGUAACAAAUAGUACAAAGUUAGAUAGUCAGAACAUUUUUUUUUUCCUAAAUGAAUGUUAAUUUUCUAAGUAACAUUCAAAUGUAUUACAAUGGAUUUUUUCCCUUGAAUUGUUUGAUUAAUUUAAUUUGUACUGUUUACAUCUGAACAAAAAAAUAAAAUACAGCAGCAAAUCAGGUUAAAUGUGCUAUAUUUCAAAUAGAUGCAGAUUAACUUUUCUGAAUGAUUCGCUGACAUUAAAAAAUAAAAUGAUCAAUGCCAAAAUAAGACAAUUAUUUUAUUAUUUGGCAUAAUGUUGGUAAUACAAUCGUAAUCAAAAUAUCACAAAAUAGUUUAUUACAUAAUUACAGCGCAUUUUGUGUGUGUCUCCAUUCUUCCUCUAUGGGUGAAGUUUAAAUAUUCUAGAAAUGUGCCAAUUUUCAAACCACAGAAAAGUAAUUUCAUUUUUAUAUAGAAGUGUUAUUUUGCACUGAGGUUUUCUAAAACUGAUAUAAGAUAUUAUGUAAAUUAUAACAAGUUACAAAUCAAUGUAUUCAGAUGUAAUUUCCAUUCAAGAAAAAUGUGCAUCCCUUUUAAAUGUUAAGAAAGGCAUUUGAUGCCUCUGUGUACACAUAUCUCCUGCAGAUGCUUCACAGAGAAAUAUGGAGUGCUUCUUUGUUUUCUAUUUCAAAAGGCAGGAGACUAGAAAUAGAUUAAAGCAUGUGAUUUUCUUCUUUAUGGGACACUUUAAGUCAUUCUCUCUUCCUGAGCAACUUAAGAGAGUGUGGGGAAGGGAAGCAAGGCUGAACUUUUGCUUUGUUUUAACAACUUUUUUUUUUUUUUUUUUUUGCUUUGAUAGCUCUUUUGACAGUCUCUUCAUGACACAUACAGUUACCUAAGAGUGUAGAAAUUAUAAACUAAUAAUUUAUUUCUGUAUGUUGAGGAGAAGGAUUAAGACCAGAUAAUAUCUUAGUAUUCUAAGAUCAGUAACUUAAAUAGGCUGAUAUAAAUCAGGAACCUUUAAGAUACAAUUAAAAAAAAAAUCAGUUUAAAGAGAGCACUACAAGUGGAAGUUUGAGGGUAAUUCAUAUGAAAUUAUACAGGAAGAAAAGCUGUGCAUCUUAAAAGCUUGGAAAGAUUACAGCAUAAAUUUAGGAGUUCCUAUAAACAGGGACCAUAAGUUUCAAAUCUGUCUUUGACUAGAUCUCCAGAGGAAAAGACAGCUUCAGUAUGAUCAGAUUAGGCAAAUGUUGAGCAGUGUAGGUCAGUACUCAGAUAGUUGCAUUCUGUAUAAUUGCAUUGAUAAUGUUUGUUUAUAGCUGCACCUGAACAAUAGUUCCAAGGUAGAUGUGCAGGGAAAAUAUGCUUUUACUGUUUAUUUAUUAUAGAAUCAGAGAAUCAUUAAGUUUGGAAAAGACCUCUAAGAUCAUCUAAUAUGACCAUAUACCCAUCACCACCAUGUCCAUAUGUGUCAGAUGUAUGCCAUUCUAAAAUCUUAAGGGGUGGUGACUCAGCUUGUUCCAAUAUAUCACCUUUAUUUCUCAAUUUUUUUUUUCCUGACUUCCAACCUGAAUCUCCCCCGGCACAAUUUCAGACCAUUCCCUCUUGUCCUAUUGCUAGCUGCACAGGAGAAGAGGCUGACCCUCACCUCACUACAACCUCCUUUCAGAGAUUUUAGAGAGCUAGUAGGUCUCAUGAGCCUCCUUUUCUCCAGUCUAAACAAUCCCAGUUCCCUCAGCCUCUCCUCAUAAGGCCUGUGCUUCAAAACCUUCACCAGCUUCAUCAUCCUUCUUUGGGCAUUGUUUCUUCUUCAGAGCUCUGCCAGUAAGGCAGUGUUAUAACACAGGACUGUCCCUUGACAUUAACCAAGAAUCCUAGAUGAACUGAGAUAUUAAAAUCGUGGAUGAUUGAUGCUUACCCAGAAUCCUCACAAAGGACUGCCCUUGAGAUAAACAGAGAGCUUAAGGUAUUCAGCUAAUAAAAGCACAGUGCUUAUGGCAUCAGUUUAGCAAACUGAGAGCCAGGAAACGCUAAAGCUUAUAACUGAGAUUUGGCAAGCUAUUUACAUCAAACAAAAAACCUCCUAGUGGUCCACCCACAGUGCGAUCUGAUAGUAUCUUGUGCACUGACAUCUGUUCAGCAAGUUGGAAUUACUGAAAUUCUGGCAAAACAAAUGUUGGAGCUGUUAUGGUAAACAAGCAAGCUAGAGAUUCUGAGCCAAUAAUCCCUCCUAAGCUUGAUUGCUGUUGGGUUUUGGCAUAAUAACAAUGCAGACAACUUGAUUUUGAUAAUAUCAUUACAAAAUCAGUGCCAUUUUUUUCUAUUCUCCUUUCCAUGUCUAUUUGAAGUUGAUAACAUAAUUUAUAGUUAAUUUUUCAAAAACUC
RNAcentral lists this long non-coding RNA (13112 nucleotides) under Gallus gallus (chicken). RNAcentral's name for it is "lncRNA (ENSGALG00010006308.1)". The record is from RNAcentral. Lineage: Eukaryota; Metazoa; Chordata; Aves; Galliformes; Phasianidae.